RNAcentral lists this unclassified non-coding RNA (345 nucleotides) under soil metagenome. RNAcentral describes it as "partial contains 5.8S ribosomal RNA, internal transcribed spacer 2, and large subunit ribosomal RNA". The stretch from base 1 to 120 matches the Rfam family "5.8S ribosomal RNA", at positions 35 to 154 of the family's 154-position model. The record is from RNAcentral.
GAUGAAGAACGUAGCGAAAUGCGAUACGUAAUGUGAAUUGCAGAAUUCAGUGAAUCAUCGAGUCUUUGAACGCACAUUGCGCCCCCUGGUAUUCCGGGGGGCAUGCCUGUCCGGGCGUCAUUGCUGCCCUCAAGCACGGCUUGUGUGUUGGGCCUCCGUCCUCCUCCCGGGGGACGGGCCCGAAAGGCAGCGGCGGCACCGCGUCCGGUCCUCGAGCGUAUGGGGCUUCGUCACCCGCUCUUGUAGGCCCGGCCGGCGCUUGCCGACACAUCAAUCUUUUUUCCAGGUUGACCUCGGAUCAGGUAGGGAUACCCGCUGAACUUAAGCAUAUCAAUAAGCGGAGGA